GAUGAACGCUGGCGGCGUGCCUAAUACAUGCAAGUCGAGCGAACAGACGAGGAGCUUGCUCCUCUGACGUUAGCGGCGGACGGGUGAGUAACACGUGGAUAACCUACCUAUAAGACUGGGAUAACUUCGGGAAACCGGAGCUAAUACCGGAUAAUAUAUUGAACCGCAUGGUUCAAUAGUGAAAGACGGUUUUGCUGUCACUUAUAGAUGGAUCCGCGCCGCAUUAGCUAGUUGGUAAGGUAACGGCUUACCAAGGCAACGAUGCGUAGCCGACCUGAGAGGGUGAUCCGCCAGACUGGAACUGAGAAACGGUCCAGACUCCGACGGGAGGCAGCAGUAGGGAAUCUUCCGCAAUGGGCGAAAGCUUGACGGAGCAACGCCGCGUGAGUGAUGAAGGUCUUCGGAUCGUAAAACUCUGUUAUUAGGGAAGAACAAAUGUGUAAGUAACUAUGCACGUCUUGACGGUACCUAAUCAGAAAGCCACGGCUAACUACGUG
Molecule: ribosomal RNA, 497 nt
Filed under: uncultured bacterium
Lineage: Bacteria
Description: partial 16S ribosomal RNA
Rfam family: Bacterial small subunit ribosomal RNA
Source: RNAcentral